RNAcentral lists this unclassified non-coding RNA (297 nucleotides) under uncultured fungus. Its description in RNAcentral is "sequence contains ITS1". The record is from RNAcentral. Lineage: Eukaryota; Fungi.
GGUGGGGAUGUUAUAAAUAACUUCCGAUAUAAGAGACUUGGCCCGAUCCAGUCGCGUUGCUUCCUUGCAAUCGGACCGCGCUGCCAUACUGCGCGAUGUGUCUACCAAAAAGACAAAAUUACCCGUCUGUCGGUCCUCUGAGCCGGUUACUUUUCGUUGUGGCCCCGAUGCUACGAGCAGCAAGGAGCCGACAAAUAUCCAGGAGAUGAUCAAUAUCCCUAACGUUUUUCCGCGCAAUCCUUCAUUCGACUCGCUGAAAGCGUUCAAGAUACGUCGUGAUUUUUUAUAACCGAUUAU